RNAcentral lists this ribosomal RNA (243 nucleotides) under uncultured Acanthamoeba. RNAcentral's name for it is "partial 18S ribosomal RNA". It matches the Rfam family "Eukaryotic small subunit ribosomal RNA", at positions 97 to 279 of the family's 1831-position model. The record is from RNAcentral. Lineage: Eukaryota; Discosea; Longamoebia; Acanthamoebidae.
CUCAUUAAAUCAGUUAUAGUUUAUUUGAUGGUCUCUUUUGUCUUUUUUUACCUUACUUGGAUAACCGUGGUAAUUCUAGAGCUAGUACAUGCGCAAGGUCCCGAGCGCGGAGGGUAGGGCUUCACGGCUCUACUCCUGCAUGCGUAGAGGGAUGUAUUUAUUAGGUUAAAAACCAAGCGUAGUCAGCAAUGGCUACAAACUCCCCUCGGUGAUUCAUAGUAACUCUUUCGGAUCGCAUUCAUG